This 1980-nucleotide ribosomal RNA is filed under the name Acinetobacter baumannii 25766_4. Its description in RNAcentral is "bacterial LSU rRNA". It matches the Rfam family "Bacterial large subunit ribosomal RNA", at positions 964 to 2925 of the family's 2925-position model. Lineage: Bacteria; Pseudomonadati; Pseudomonadota; Gammaproteobacteria; Moraxellales; Moraxellaceae. The record is from RNAcentral.
CUAUGAGUACUAUCCGGGAGACAGACUGCGGGUGCUAACGUCCGUAGUCAAGAGGAAAACAAUCCAGACCGCCAGCUAAGGCCCCAAAAUCAUAGUUAAGUGGGAAACGAUGUGGGAAGGCAUAGACAGCUAGGAGGUUGGCUUAGAAGCAGCCACCCUUUAAAGAAAGCGUAAUAGCUCACUAGUCGAGUCGGCCUGCGCGGAAGAUGUAACGGGGCUAAAACUAUGUGCCGAAGCUGCGGAUGUAUACUUUGUAUACGUGGUAGGGGAGCGUUCUGUAAGCCGAUGAAGGUGUGUUGAGAAGCAUGCUGGAGGUAUCAGAAGUGCGAAUGCUGACGUGAGUAACGACAAAACGGGUGAAAAACCCGUUCGCCGAAAGACCAAGGGUUCCAGUCCAACGUUAAUCGGGGCUGGGUGAGUCGACCCCUAAGGCGAGGCCGAAAGGCGUAGUCGAUGGGAAAAUGGUUAAUAUUCCAUUACUUCUGUGUAAUGCGAUGAGAGGACGGAGAAGGCUAAAUCAGCCUGGCGUUGGUUGUCCAGGUGAAAGGAUGUAGGCAUGUAUCUUAGGCAAAUCCGGGGUACUCUAUGCUGAGAUCUGAUAGCAAGCUGUACUUGUACAGCGAAGUGGUUGAUGCCAUGCUUCCAGGAAAAGUCUCUAAGCUUCAGUUACACAGGAAUCGUACCCGAAACCGACACAGGUGGUCAGGUCGAGUAGACCAAGGCGCUUGAGAGAACUCUGCUGAAGGAACUAGGCAAAAUGGUACCGUAACUUCGGGAGAAGGUACGCUGUUGUUGGUGAUGGAACUCGCUUCCUGAGCUGACGACAGCCGCAGAAACCAGGCCGCUGCAACUGUUUAUUAAAAACAUAGCACUCUGCAAACACGAAAGUGGACGUAUAGGGUGUGAUGCCUGCCCGGUGCUGGAAGGUUAAUUGAUGGGGUUAGCGUAAGCGAAGCUCUUGAUCGAAGCCCCAGUAAACGGCGGCCGUAACUAUAACGGUCCUAAGGUAGCGAAAUUCCUUGUCGGGUAAGUUCCGACCUGCACGAAUGGCAUAAUGAUGGCGGCGCUGUCUCCAGCAGAGGCUCAGUGAAAUCGAAAUCGCUGUGAAGAUGCAGUGUACCCGCGGCUAGACGGAAAGACCCCGUGAACCUUUACUGCAGCUUGACACUGAACUUUGACCUUACUUGUGUAGGAUAGGUGGGAGGCUUUGAAGCUGGAACGCUAGUUCCAGUGGAGCCGUCCUUGAAAUACCACCCUGGUAAUGUUGAGGUUCUAACUCUGUCCCGUGAUCCGGGACGAGGACCGUGUCUGGUGGGUAGUUUGACUGGGGCGGUCUCCUCCUAAAGAGUAACGGAGGAGUACGAAGGUGCGCUCAGCGUGGUCGGAAAUCACGCGUAGAGUAUAAAGGCAAAAGCGCGCUUAACUGCGAGACCCACAAGUCGAGCAGGUACGAAAGUAGGUCUUAGUGAUCCGGUGGUUCUGUAUGGAAGGGCCAUCGCUCAACGGAUAAAAGGUACUCUGGGGAUAACAGGCUGAUACCGCCCAAGAGUUCAUAUCGACGGCGGUGUUUGGCACCUCGAUGUCGGCUCAUCUCAUCCUGGGGCUGAAGCAGGUCCCAAGGGUAUGGCUGUUCGCCAUUUAAAGAGGUACGCGAGCUGGGUUUAGAACGUCGUGAGACAGUUCGGUCCCUAUCUACCGUGGGCGCUGGAAAUUUGAGAGGAUCUGCUCCUAGUACGAGAGGACCAGAGUGGACGAACCUCUGGUGUACCGGUUGUGACGCCAGUCGCAUCGCCGGGUAGCUAUGUUCGGAAGGGAUAACCGCUGAAAGCAUCUAAGCGGGAAGCCUACCUCAAGAUAAGAUUUCCCUAGGACUUUAUGUCCUCUAAAGAGCCGUUCGAGACUAGGACGUUGAUAGGUUGGAUGUGGAAGCAUAGUGAUAUGUGAAGCUGACCAAUACUAAUUGCUCGUGAGGCUUGACUA